GCGUGUGACUUUUGGACACAUGCUAACUUUUCAAGCCCUGUUUCCAUAUCUGCGUAGUGGGAAUGACGGCAUCACCUCACAGAUUUGUUCUGAGAAUUAAUAUGUAAGUUGAAGCAAGUUCCCUCCCCCAUUAAAUAGGGGUAACGACGGCAUCUACUUUUUAGAACCAGGCGGAGGAUUCAAGGAGAUAAUGCCUGUUUAUAAUAGGCGAGGUGCUAUUGUCAAGUGAUGACUGCCAAUCAAGGUAAUUUUGACCUGGAUUUUAAUUUUUUACUCCUAAAACGUUUAGGCGACAUCUGGAAAUAUGUGGGGACAUUUUUGGUUUGACAUCUGGC
This is a long non-coding RNA of Diceros bicornis minor, 335 nucleotides long. RefSeq lists it as uncharacterized. The transcript has 4 exons. Lineage: Eukaryota; Metazoa; Chordata; Mammalia; Perissodactyla; Rhinocerotidae. The record is from RefSeq and is a predicted model, not a curated record.